RNAcentral lists this ribosomal RNA (253 nucleotides) under uncultured bacterium. Its description in RNAcentral is "partial 16S ribosomal RNA". It matches the Rfam family "Bacterial small subunit ribosomal RNA", at positions 524 to 776 of the family's 1533-position model. The record is from RNAcentral.
UACGUAGGGCGCAAGCGUUGUCCGGAAUUAUUGGGUUUAAAGGGUGGGUAGGCGGCUUCGUAAGUCCGUGGUGAAAGCCAACAGCUCAACUGUUGAACUGCCAUGGAUACUGUGAGGCUUGAGUACAGACGAGGUAGGCGGAAUGGAUCGUGUAGCGGUGAAAUGCAUAGAUACGAUCCAGAACACCGAUUGCGUAGGCAGCUUACUAGGCUGUAACUGACGCUGAGGCACGAAAGCGUGGGGAGCGAACAGG